AACGAACGCUGGCGGCAGGCUUAACACAUGCAAGUCGAGCGCCCCGCAAGGGGAGCGGCAGACGGGUGAGUAACACGUGGGGAUCUGCCUAGUGGUACGGAACAACUCAGGGAAACUUGAGCUAAUACCGUAUAAGUCCUUCGGGAGAAGAUUAUCGCCAUUAGAUGAACCCGCGUCUGAUUAGCUAGUUGGUGAGGUAA
RNAcentral lists this ribosomal RNA (200 nucleotides) under uncultured bacterium. RNAcentral's name for it is "partial 16S ribosomal RNA". It matches the Rfam family "Bacterial small subunit ribosomal RNA", at positions 29 to 260 of the family's 1533-position model. The record is from RNAcentral.